CGCGGGGGAAUCGCAGUGAGCAGCGCGGGGCGAGGCCGCCGCGGACGCCCCGUCGGAUGUGCCCUUCGCUGGGCCGAGCGGCGCAGGGUUGGAGAGGGAAGCGCUCGUGCCCACCUUGCUCGCAGGUGCCCUUGCUGACCUGGGUGAUGGCCUUCUCCCCGCGGCUCUCGGCCCUCUGGCUGGCGGCGCGCAGCUGGCAGCCGCUCGGGUUGGUGCUUACCCCACGUCUCAAGUUUCCU
RNAcentral lists this long non-coding RNA (239 nucleotides) under Homo sapiens (human). RNAcentral's name for it is "HSALNT0319784". Lineage: Eukaryota; Metazoa; Chordata; Mammalia; Primates; Hominidae. The record is from RNAcentral.